This 1433-nucleotide ribosomal RNA is filed under the name Bifidobacterium pseudocatenulatum. RNAcentral describes it as "bacterial SSU rRNA". It matches the Rfam family "Bacterial small subunit ribosomal RNA". The record is from RNAcentral. Lineage: Bacteria; Bacillati; Actinomycetota; Actinomycetes; Bifidobacteriales; Bifidobacteriaceae.
UGGGGGGGUGCUUUACACAUGCAGUCGAACGGGAUCCAUCAGGCUUUGCUUGGUGGUGAGAGUGGCGAACGGGUGAGUAAUGCGUGACCGACCUGCCCCAUACACCGGAAUAGCUCCUGGAAACGGGUGGUAAUGCCGGAUGCUCCGACUCCUCGCAUGGGGUGUCGGGAAAGAUUUCAUCGGUAUGGGAUGGGGUCGCGUCCUAUCAGGUAGUCGGCGGGGUAACGGCCCACCGAGCCUACGACGGGUAGCCGGCCUGAGAGGGCGACCGGCCACAUUGGGACUGAGAUACGGCCCAGACUCCUACGGGAGGCAGCAGUGGGGAAUAUUGCACAAUGGGCGCAAGCCUGAUGCAGCGACGCCGCGUGCGGGAUGACGGCCUUCGGGUUGUAAACCGCUUUUGAUCGGGAGCAAGCCUUCGGGUGAGUGUACCUUUCGAAUAAGCACCGGCUAACUACGUGCCAGCAGCCGCGGUAAUACGUAGGGUGCAAGCGUUAUCCGGAAUUAUUGGGCGUAAAGGGCUCGUAGGCGGUUCGUCGCGUCCGGUGUGAAAGUCCAUCGCUUAACGGUGGAUCUGCGCCGGGUACGGGCGGGCUGGAGUGCGGUAGGGGAGACUGGAAUUCCCGGUGUAACGGUGGAAUGUGUAGAUAUCGGGAAGAACACCAAUGGCGAAGGCAGGUCUCUGGGCCGUUACUGACGCUGAGGAGCGAAAGCGUGGGGAGCGAACAGGAUUAGAUACCCUGGUAGUCCACGCCGUAAACGGUGGAUGCUGGAUGUGGGGCCCGUUCCACGGGUUCCGUGUCGGAGCUAACGCGUUAAGCAUCCCGCCUGGGGAGUACGGCCGCAAGGCUAAAACUCAAAGAAAUUGACGGGGGCCCGCACAAGCGGCGGAGCAUGCGGAUUAAUUCGAUGCAACGCGAAGAACCUUACCUGGGCUUGACAUGUUCCCGACAGCCGUAGAGAUAUGGCCUCCCUUCGGGGCGGGUUCACAGGUGGUGCAUGGUCGUCGUCAGCUCGUGUCGUGAGAUGUUGGGUUAAGUCCCGCAACGAGCGCAACCCUCGCCCUGUGUUGCCAGCACGUCAUGGUGGGAACUCACGGGGGACCGCCGGGGUCAACUCGGAGGAAGGUGGGGAUGACGUCAGAUCAUCAUGCCCCUUACGUCCAGGGCUUCACGCAUGCUACAAUGGCCGGUACAACGGGAUGCGACACGGCGACGUGGAGCGGAUCCCUGAAAACCGGUCUCAGUUCGGAUUGGAGUCUGCAACCCGACUCCAUGAAGGCGGAGUCGCUAGUAAUCGCGGAUCAGCAACGCCGCGGUGAAUGCGUUCCCGGGCCUUGUACACACCGCCCGUCAAGUCGAUGAAAGUGGGUAGCACCCGAAGCCGGUGGCCUAACCCUUUGUGGAUGGAGCCGUCUAAAAGGAAGACCCCGG